This 859-nucleotide non-coding RNA is filed under the name Pista cristata. The record is from RNAcentral. Lineage: Eukaryota; Metazoa; Annelida; Polychaeta; Terebellida; Terebellidae.
GAUUCUAACUAAAUUAUUGAUUAUUAUUCUUAAGUCAUACACAUGUAAACCUUUCUACUCCCGUGAAAAAGUUUUUCUAAUUUUAUUUUCUUAAAGAAAUUAUUAUAUUAAGUUAAACAACUAAAUUUUAAAUAUAUUUUUUAUAUUUAAUAAUUUUUCACACCUACAGUGUCUAAUUCUGUUAUAUUAGGGACACCUAGAUUCGAUUAAAGACUCAAGGGCUGGUUAAAUCUGUGCCAGCUACCGCGGUUAAACAGUAAGCCCAAAUCAAUUAAGCCGGGAUCUACGGUUAAAUAUCCAAUUUUAUUAGGCAAAAUAACAAUUUAUUUUAGAGGUACAAUUCUUUCCAAUAUUAUUCUUCUUUUACUGCUUCAUUAUUGACCCGUGACAACUUAGACCAAAACCAGGAUUAGAUACCCAAUUAUUCUAAGUUUUAAAUUAAUUUACCAGGGCAUUACUACUACAUAGUUGAAACCCAAAGAAAUUGGCGGCAUUCUAACGUCCCAGGGGAACCUGUCCUUUAAUCCGAUAUUCCACGUAUACACAACUUUCUCUUGCACAACAGCCUAUGUAUUGCCGUCGUCAGCCAACCUUGAAAAAGCCUAUUUGUUAGCACCAAGAUUAGCCUCUAAUCUUUACGUCAGGUCGAAAUAUAGCCUAUGAGAAAGAAGAGAUGGGUUACUGUUUCUUUACACCAAAUAUUAUGUUUAAACACAUUUUUGAAGAAGGACUUGGAAGUAAAAAUUAACUAUAUUGUAAUUCUGAAUUCAGUUAUCUAGAAUGAGUACAUAUCGCCCGUCGCCCUCGCUGAAAAGUGAGGUAAGUCGUAACAUAGUGGGUGUAACGGAAGUUGCACCUA